Small nuclear RNA from Myotis daubentonii (Daubenton's bat), 146 nucleotides. RefSeq annotates it as U4 spliceosomal RNA. The record is from RefSeq and is a predicted model, not a curated record. Lineage: Eukaryota; Metazoa; Chordata; Mammalia; Chiroptera; Vespertilionidae.
AACUUUGCACAGUGGCAGUAUCGUAGCCAAUGAGGUUUAUCUGAGGUACGAUUAUUGCUAAUAGAAAAAAAAAUAUCAAACCCAAAUGUGGGGCAGUCUAUAAAACAGCCAACAAUAAUCCUGAAAACUGUCAAGGUUAUAAAAAG